AUUGAACGCUGGCGGCAUGCCUUACACAUGCAAGUCGAACGGCAGCACGGGAGCAAUCCUGGUGGCGAGUGGCGAACGGGUGAGUAAUAUAUCGGAACGUGCCCGGUCGUGGGGGUAACGUAGCGAAAGCUACGCUAAUACCGCAUACGAUCUACGGAUGAAAGCGGGGGAUCGCAAGACCUCGCGCGAUUGGAGCGGCCGAUAUCAGAUUAGGUAGUUGGUGAGGUAAAGGCUCACCAAGCCGACGAUCUGUAGCUGGUCUGAGAGGACGACCAGCCACACUGGGACUGAGACACGGCCCAGACUCCUACGGGAGGCAGCAGUGGGGAAUUUUGGACAAUGGGCGCAAGCCUGAUCCAGCAAUGCCGCGUGCAGGAUGAA
RNAcentral lists this ribosomal RNA (381 nucleotides) under uncultured bacterium. RNAcentral's name for it is "bacterial SSU rRNA". It matches the Rfam family "Bacterial small subunit ribosomal RNA", at positions 30 to 412 of the family's 1533-position model. The record is from RNAcentral.